This 468-nucleotide ribosomal RNA is filed under the name uncultured bacterium. RNAcentral describes it as "partial 16S ribosomal RNA". It matches the Rfam family "Bacterial small subunit ribosomal RNA", at positions 28 to 507 of the family's 1533-position model. The record is from RNAcentral.
GACGAACGCUGGCGGCGUGCUUAACACAUGCAAGUCGAACGGAAAGGCCCUGCUUUUGUGGGGUGCUCGAGUGGCGAACGGGUGAGUAACACGUGAGUAACCUGCCCUUGACUUUGGGAUAACUUCAGGAAACUGGGGCUAAUACCGGAUAGGAGCUCCUGCUGCAUGGUGGGGGUUGGAAAGUUUCGGCGGUUGGGGAUGGACUCGCGGCUUAUCAGCUUGUUGGUGGGGUAGUGGCUUACCAAGGCUUUGACGGGUAUCCGGCCUGAGAGGGUGACCGGCGACAUUGGGACUGAGAGACGGCGCAGACGCCUACGGGAGGCAGCAGGGGGGAAUAUUGCACAAUGGGCGGAAGCCGGAUGCAGCAGCGCCGCGUGCGGGAUGACGGCCUUCGGGUUGUAAACCGCUUUCGCCUGUGACGAAGCGUGAGUGACGGUAAUGGGUAAAGAAGCACCGGCUAACUACGUG